GCAGCAGCAGCAGCAAGACAGUGUCACUACUGCUGGAGCAACAAACAAAAGCAGGCAAGCAAAGAGGUAUUCCCUUUCGCUAAAGAACAAGCUCCCUUACAGUGAAGUUGUAGACACGAGUUGUGGAAGUAGUAGAGUCGGCGGCGCUUGAAACACCGGCUGCAACGAGCAAGCCAAUUGCUACGACGAGAAUGCGGGUGUGGAUCUGCAUUGCCUCCUCCCUGCUGCUGCUACCAGAGACGAGACAAACUAUGGAGACAAUGGGGACGAUCAAACUUUAUGCGCCCUCCGUCGUGCACGGCACUUCCGGCUAUGAAGUUCAAUUUAUGUGCAUACAGGGCCUCUUGACUAGAGUGACAGUCCUGGUCCCAGUAACUCCAGCGGAUUUUACAUCUAGUUCCUCCUAAGGUGGUGGUUCUUCUGUCAACGUUGUGGAGGCUUUCGCUACCUGCUGUGGCACGUUCCGGAGCGUUAUGUCAAUUGCUAGAUCGGUGCGUAUACACUUCCGUGGCAGCAGCGCCCAUUGCGAAUCUGGAGCAGCGAGAGAGCACACUGGAAAGACAACAAAGGUUUAUUUUUUUCCCUUCGAAUUUUACCAGGCAGUGUCACUCACGGGGCCUUGACUCUUCGCGUUUGUUAGUUGAGUGGCGUGGUCCUGUCUUCUAUCGACGAGGAAGAACACUGAAGAACAAAAAAGAAAAGUAGAAAAAUACAAGCCAAAGAAAAUAUGGCGCAUGCAGGUUUUGAACCUGCGACCUAGCUCGAAACCGUUAAUUAAACAUGUUUAAUCGUAAA
Long non-coding RNA from Selaginella moellendorffii, 795 nucleotides. RefSeq lists it as uncharacterized. Lineage: Eukaryota; Viridiplantae; Streptophyta; Lycopodiopsida; Selaginellales; Selaginellaceae. The transcript is spliced from 2 exons. The record is from RefSeq and is a predicted model, not a curated record.